CCCUUAGAUGUUCUGGGCCGCACGCGCGCUACACUGACGAAUGCAACGAGCUUAUAACCUUGGCCGAAAGGUCUGGGUAAUCUCCAAAUUUCGUCGUGAUGGGGAUAGAUUAUUGCAAUUAUUAAUCUUCAACGAGGAAUGCCUAGUAAGCGCAAGUCAUCAGCUUGCGUUGAUUACGUCCCUGCCCUUUGCACACACCGCCCGUCGCUCCUACCGAUUGAAUGGUCCGGUGAAGCGCUCGGACCGCGGCCUCUUGACGGUUCGCUGUCGAUUGGCUGUGGGAAGUUCGUUAAACCUUAUCAUUUAGAGGAAGGAGAANUCGUAACA
Molecule: ribosomal RNA, 327 nt
Filed under: uncultured eukaryote
Lineage: Eukaryota
Description: partial 18S ribosomal RNA
Rfam family: Eukaryotic small subunit ribosomal RNA
Source: RNAcentral